AAAUCUAUUUUUCUUUUUAAAAAAUUACUUCCGGAAAUAAUUUAGCUUCACUGUUACACAAUCCACAAAUUAUUUAGCUUCAGGAUUUUACAAUACAUGAGUUAUUUAUUAGCGAACAAUCUGAAAAGAACAAAAUAGGGAAAAAAAAUUAUUGGAUGCAAUGCAAGAAAGUUACCCAGAUGGAGGAAGAAACUGCCACGUUGUGUUGUGCUGGUUGCUAAACAAGCUCGGGGCAGGUAGCUUCAUGUAUGGAAGGGUGGUUUUGCUGCUUUGUUGGUUGAAACGGUGAAAUUCAGGUUAUCACAAUUCAGAGUCCAGAAAUAUGCUUCCGAAACACUAAUCCAAAACGUGUAGCUAGGAAUUGGUGUUUCCGGAAUUACCGGCUAGAAAAGAAUAUCCAGAAUAGUAGUGGGAGAUGCGACAUGUAUUUCGAAUUCACGUUUUCGGAAGGCUAUUUUGUACAAUCCGAAAAGAGUAUUACGACACUAUUGCACAAGGGUUUUGGAAUGCACAUUCGGUAACAUAUUCCGAAAUUCGGAAUUUCCAAUCCGGUUAAAUUCCGGAAUACCCAUUUUGGAAGUUAAAAAAUUCCUUACCUCAAAUACGGUUAGGAGUAACGUAAGCCACAAGCUUGCCUCCGAUGGUGCCCAUGCAGCGGCAGAAACACAAGCACAGGUGGAGGAAAAGGAACAGAUGGAUAUUGUUGAAACGAAAACAGAGGUGGAUGAAAACUGCACGAAAAAGGGAGAAAGGGAUGACACUUCAAAGUUUAAGGUAAAAUUUACAGGGAAAAUGGCAGUGGAGAAAAUACAGAGUGAAAUUUUGAAGGCUAGACAUUCACAACAUGCCAUCUUCCUCAAGUUAACUACAUAAAUUCAUUUCUGCAGUUUUAAAAUCAAGAAUUCAGAAGACAUAAUCACUCACUUAUCAUCAACAUGCUGCUCUUGUUUACCUCCUGCCACAAUAACCUGGGUCAUCUCUUCCAUUUUUAGCUCAUUUAUAACAUUAUCUAGUUUGA
Molecule: long non-coding RNA, 1018 nt
Organism: Vigna angularis (adzuki bean)
Lineage: Eukaryota; Viridiplantae; Streptophyta; Magnoliopsida; Fabales; Fabaceae
Exons: 3
Source: RefSeq, a predicted model, not a curated record